Molecule: ribosomal RNA, 440 nt
Filed under: uncultured bacterium
Lineage: Bacteria
Description: partial 16S ribosomal RNA
Rfam family: Bacterial small subunit ribosomal RNA
Source: RNAcentral
AGGGAAUCUUCGGCAAUGGGGGCAACCCUGACCGAGCAACGCCGCGUGAGUGAAGAAGGUUUUCGGAUCGUAAAGCUCUGUUGUAAGUCAAGAACGGGUGUGAGAGUGGAAAGUUCACACUGUGACGGUAGCUUACCAGAAAGGGACGGCUAACUACGUGCCAGCAGCCGCGGUAAUACGUAGGUCCCGAGCGUUGUCCGGAUUUAUUGGGGCGUAAAGCGAGCGCAGGCGGUUUGAUAAGUCUGAAGUUAAAGGCUGUGGCUCAACCAUAGUUCGCUUUGGAAACUGUCAAACUUGAGUGCAGAAGGGGAGAGUGGAAUUCCAUGUGUAGCGGUGAAAUGCGUAGAUAUAUGGAGGAACACCGGUGGCGAAAGCGGCUCUCUGGUCUGUAACUGACGCUGAGGCUCGAAAGCGUGGGGAGCGAACAGGAUUAGAUACCC